GAUAAACGCUGGCGGCGUGCCUAAUACAUGCAAGUCGAGCGAACGGACGAGAAGCUUGCUUCUCUGAUGUUAGCGGCGGACGGGUGAGUAACACGUGGAUAACCUACCUAUAAGACUGGGAUAACUUCGGGAAACCGGAGCUAAUACCGGAUAAUAUUUUGAACCGCAUGGUUCAAAAGUGAAAGACGGUCUUGCUGUCACUUAUAGAUGGAUCCGCGCUGCAUUAGCUAGUUGGUAAGGUAACGGCUUACCAAGGCAACGAUGCAUAGCCGACCUGAGAGGGUGAUCGGCCACACUGGAACUGAGACACGGUCCAGACUCCUACGGGAGGCAGCAGUAGGGAAUCUUCCGCAAUGGGCGAAAGCCUGACGGAGCAACGCCGCGUGGGUGAUGAAGGUCUUCGGAUCGUAAAACUCUGUUAUUAGGGAAGAACAUAUGUGUAAGUAACUGUGCACAUCUUGACGGUACCUAAUCAGAAAGCCACGGCUAACUACGUGCCAGCAGCCGCGGUAAUACGUAGGUGGCAAGCGUUAUCCGGAACUAUUGGGCGUAAAGCGCGCGUAGGCGGUUUUUUAAGUCUGAUGUGAAAGCCCACGGCUCAACCGUGGAGGGUCAUUGGAAACUGGAAAACUUGAGUGCAGAAGAGGAAAGUGGAAUUCCAUGUGUAGCGGUGAAAUGCGCAGAGAUAUGGAGGAACACCAGUGGCGAAGGCGACUUUCUGGUCUGUAACUGACGCUGAUGUGCGAAAGCGUGGGGAUCAAACAGGAUUAGAUACCCUGGUAGUCCACGCCGUAAACGAUGAGUGCUAAGUGUUAGGGGGUUUCCGCCCCUUAGUGCUGCAGCUAACGCAUUAAGCACUCCGCCUGGGGAGUACGACCGCAAGGUUGAAACUCAAAGGAAUUGACGGGGACCCGCACAAGCGGUGGAGCAUGUGGUUUAAUUCGAAGCAACGCGAAGAACCUUACCAAAUCUUGACAUCCUUUGACAACUCUAGAGAUAGAGCCUUCCCCUUCGGGGGACAAAGUGACAGGUGGUGCAUGGUUGUCGUCAGCUCGUGUCGUGAGAUGUUGGGUUAAGUCCCGCAACGAGCGCAACCCUUAAGCUUAGUUGCCAUCAUUAAGUUGGGCACUCUAAGUUGACUGCCGGUGACAAACCGGAGGAAGGUGGGGAUGACGUCAAAUCAUCAUGCCCCUUAUGAUUUGGGCUACACACGUGCUACAAUGGACAAUACAAAGGGCAGCGAAACCGCGAGGUCAAGCAAAUCCCAUAAAGUUGUUCUCAGUUCGGAUUGUAGUCUGCAACUCGACUACAUGAAGCUGGAAUCGCUAGUAAUCGUAGAUCAGCAUGCUACGGUGAAUACGUUCCCGGGUCU
Molecule: ribosomal RNA, 1372 nt
Filed under: uncultured bacterium
Lineage: Bacteria
Description: bacterial SSU rRNA
Rfam family: Bacterial small subunit ribosomal RNA
Source: RNAcentral